UUGAUCCUGGCUCAGAAUCAACGCUGGCGGCGUGCCUAACACAUGCAAGUCGAACGGGAAAGUGGAGCAAUCCAUGAGUAUAGUGGCGACCGGGUGAGUUACACGUGACUAACCUACCUUCAAGUGGGGGAUAACCUCGGGAAACCGGGUCUAAUACCGCAUAACAUCUCUGUUAUGAGAAAGCAGAGAUCAAAGGAGCUAUUCGCUGGAAGAGGGGGUCGCGGCUGACUAGCUAGUUGGUGGGGUAACUGCCCACCAAGGCUUUGAUCGGUAGCCGGCCUGAGAGGGCGCACGGCCACUCUGGAACUGAAACACGGUCCAGACUCCUACGGGAGGCAGCAGUGGGGAAUUUUGCGCAAUGGGGGAAACCCUGACGCAGCAACGCCGCGUGGAGGAUGAUGUCCCUUGGGACGUAAACUCCUUUCGACCGGGAAGAUUAUGACGGUACCUGUGGAGGAAGCCCCGGCUAACUUCGUGCCAGCAGCCGCGGUAAUAAGGU
Molecule: ribosomal RNA, 499 nt
Filed under: uncultured Acidobacteriota bacterium
Lineage: Bacteria; Pseudomonadati; Acidobacteriota
Description: bacterial SSU rRNA
Rfam family: Bacterial small subunit ribosomal RNA
Source: RNAcentral